Molecule: small nuclear RNA, 107 nt
Organism: Suricata suricatta (meerkat)
Lineage: Eukaryota; Metazoa; Chordata; Mammalia; Carnivora; Herpestidae
Source: Ensembl
GUGCUCGCUUCGGCAGCACAUAUACUAAAAUUGGAACAAUACAGAGAAGGUCAGCAGGGCCCCUGCGCAAGGAUGACACGCAAACUCGUGGAGCGCUCCGUAUUUUU